UCAGGGGCCCUGUUUCCUGUUUCUCAGCCAGGAACUUUUGGAGUCACCCCAGUUCUCCCUGAGACAGUUUCGAAUCUGCUCUGGCAGUUCCCCCUCCCCCGCUCCCUCUGCUGCGCUUACAGAUCAAUCAUUCCUGUGAUGCCGUACCAGCCGCCUUUCUGAAAUGCAGGUGAAUGAUGGCUGCUGACAGUCUCGCUAGACAGGCCCCAGCUCCGAUUCCUCCGGGGCUGGAACUUGCGCUCACUUCCCAGAAGCCCUGCCAACUCUCCCACAGCCUUCGAUAUGCUGCUUGCCUCCGUACCUGCGCCGGCUUGGCAGCUGAAUUCACAGGUCACCUCCAAGACUAAAGAGACCCCAAUUUACAUCCAAAGCUAAAAACAAAAAGCCACAAACAAAAC
RNAcentral lists this long non-coding RNA (398 nucleotides) under Chrysemys picta bellii (western painted turtle). RNAcentral describes it as "lncRNA (ENSCPBG00000018947.1)". Lineage: Eukaryota; Metazoa; Chordata; Testudines; Emydidae. The record is from RNAcentral.